Molecule: RNase P RNA, 381 nt
Filed under: pig gut metagenome
Description: Bacterial RNase P class A
Rfam family: Bacterial RNase P class A
About the family: Ribonuclease P (RNase P) is a ubiquitous endoribonuclease, found in archaea, bacteria and eukarya as well as chloroplasts and mitochondria. Its best characterised activity is the generation of mature 5'-ends of tRNAs by cleaving the 5'-leader elements of precursor-tRNAs.
Source: RNAcentral
UCGGAUAGCUGCGCUGCGGAAGGUAAAAUCCGUUAGUGAGGAAAGUCCGGGCUUCAAGGGAACAGGACACCAGAUAACGUCUGGCUGGAGCGAUCCAAGUGCUAGUGCCACAGAAAGUUACCGCCAUGGGGCUUUAGCCGUGUGGUAAGGUUGAAAAGGUGGGGUAAGAGCCCACCGCGGCGGAAGCAAUUUCGCUGGCGGAGGUAAACCAUGUCCGAAGCAAGACCAAGUUAGGAGGGCUUUUUUUUAUAAAAAAGAGUUGCACGGAGAGUUCCCUCUCUACUCCAGAGGUAGGUCGCGCCGAACUGUUUAGCGAUAAACAGUCAAGAUGAAUAGCUAUCGCCGGUUUUACCGGUACAGAACCCGGCUUAUAGAUUACCU